CAGGUUUACCUGUGUGACUGCGUACCUUUUGUAUAAUGGGUCAGCGACUUAUAUUCUGUAGCAAGGUUAACCGCAUAGGGGAGCCGGAGGGAAACCGAGUCUUAAUUGGGCGUUAAGUUGCAGGGUAUAGACCCGAAACCCGGUGAUCUAGCCAUGGGCAGGUUGAAGGUUGGGUAACACUAACUGGAGGACCGAACCGACUAAUGUUGAAAAAUUAGCGGAUGACCUGUGGCUGGGGGUGAAAGGCCAAUCAAACCGGGAGAUAGCUGGUUCUCCCCGAAAGCUAUUUAGGUAGCGCCUCGUGAACUCAUCUCCGGGGGUAGAGCACUGUUUCGGCUAGGGGGCCAUCCCGGCUUACCAACCCGAUGCAAACUGCGAAUACCGGAGAAUGUUAUCACGGGAGACACACGGCGGGUGCUAACGUCCGUCGUGAAGAGGGAAACAACCCAGACCGCCAGCUAAGGUCCCAAAGUCAUGGUUAAGUGGGAAACGAUGUGGGAAGGCCCAGACAGCCAGGAUGUUGGCUUAGAAGCAGCCAUCAUUUAAAGAAAGCGUAAUAGCUCACUGGUCGAGUCGGCCUGCGCGGAAGAUGUAACGGGGCUAAACCAUGCACCGAAGCUGCGGCAGCGAACGUAUCACCCAAGACAACUUUACGGAGUUGACGAUUGACGGAGCGAAGCGACGUCAAAGCGUAUACAAAGUCGAGUUGGCUUAGGGAUACGUUCGUUGGGUAGGGGAGCGUUCUGUAAGCCUGUGAAGGUGGCCUGUGAGGGUUGCUGGAGGUAUCAGAAGUGCGAAUGCUGACAUAAGUAACGAUAAAGCGGGUGAAAAGCCCGCUCGCCGGAAGACCAAGGGUUCCUGUCCAACGUUAAUCGGGGCAGGGUGAGUCGACCCCUAAGGCGAGGCCGAAAGGCGUAGUCGAUGGGAAACGGGUUAAUAUUCCCGUACUUGGUGUUACUGCGAAGGGGGGACGGAGAAGGCUAUGUUGGCCGGGCGACGGUUGUCCCGGUUUAAGCGUGUAGGUGUGUGUUCCAGGUAAAUCCGGUU
This 1047-nucleotide ribosomal RNA is filed under the name Salmonella enterica subsp. enterica serovar Stockholm. RNAcentral describes it as "partial 23S ribosomal RNA". It matches the Rfam family "Bacterial large subunit ribosomal RNA", at positions 580 to 1547 of the family's 2925-position model. Lineage: Bacteria; Pseudomonadati; Pseudomonadota; Gammaproteobacteria; Enterobacterales; Enterobacteriaceae. The record is from RNAcentral.